Long non-coding RNA from Quercus lobata, 1323 nucleotides. RefSeq lists it as uncharacterized. NCBI's taxonomy places the organism in Eukaryota, Viridiplantae, Streptophyta, Magnoliopsida, Fagales, Fagaceae. The record is from RefSeq and is a predicted model, not a curated record. The transcript has 4 exons.
UAGAGCAUCAAUGCAUUUAUUUGCUUCACGAAAACAGAAAUUCAUCUUCAAUUAAAGAAUUUGACUUGCGAGGGUCUUGCAAUCCAAAAUAAAAGAAUCAUGAAAGAAGACAUCUCACCCAAGGCUUUCCUCUUUUCAUAUUCAUCCAGUGAGCAUGGUCCACAAAAUCUACCAGUCCAAACUUUUAGCUUGGUUCAGACAUGGGAGCAAGGAAUGGUAGUUUUUUAGAAUCUUUAUUAGGGGUUGGAAUCAGAGGUAGUGGGACCCUUCAAAGUCCUAGAUAAGGAGAGAGAUGGGCUCAAUUUGAAGCCUUCAAAAGCGCUCGACAUCUCUAUUGGUCUACUUAGAUUCUUUUUUUUUUUUUUUUGCUGAAUAUUGGUCUACUUAGAUUCAGUUAUAUAUAUUCACACAGUUGACAAACAACGUCGGUUUCUCUUUUGGGUAACCAACGAAGGUUGUUCUGCUUGGCUUAUCUCCUGUGUCUGGUCUUUACCACAACUCCAGCAGUUCGAUAGGACUAACUCUCUUUCAUUUCACGGGAUGGCAAUAAGGCUGUGCAUGGACUAGCUCAAUAUGCUAGAGGUCUUUCAAACUUUAGUGCUUGGAUAGAUGAAACACUAUUUAUUAUUGAGCAUUUGGUUACUCAAGACGUACUGUUUUUAUCCUCGUCUGAAUAAAAUAAAAAGUGAAUGAUAAAGUUUGGUAGGAUAGGAUAUCACAAGCAUGAUAAAAAUUAUCUCCAGUGUAUUGCUUUUGAGUUUUAAGUAUAUAUAGGCACUUGUCUAGCUUCCUUGCGUCUUUAUAAUUUUUUUUUUUUUUUCGAAACAUAAAUCUCUUGUGCUUAGUUUUUUUCUUUUAGGGAGGUUUUAUAUAUCCAGGGACUAUAUUCUAACGAAAAGAUCGAAGUAUUCAACAAAGCUAUGCAAUGGCAGAUGCAGCCAAAGACAGAAUAGUGUGCAAAGCAACAGGUAGGGCUGGCUACAUGUCCGCCUUGCGUUGGUGGUCAAGCAAAAGCACCUACAUCCAGACUGUGGCACUAGUCUGAAGCAAGUCCAAGGAAAACAAGAAGUGCUUGUGGAGGGAGUUCCACGAGUGCCAAAAUUGAGGGGACUAGUGGUUAGGACUAGAGAACCGGAAAUUGUCAUUGGUGGGGCCCUUACAUGGUGUUUCUUCAGUUCACAGCUGUUCCUAUUUUAUUUAUUUUUUUUUUUUUUGCUGAAUAGUUCACACCUGUUCCUAUAAGCACUUGGAUUGUCACUCCUCAAUAACUUGGCCUUGAUUGCUAUUUCUGUUUUGUAAUUAUUAUACUCGUCUUAUGGUUUU